UGCCGAAUCAACUAGCCCUGAAAAUGGAUGGCGCUUGAGCGAGGGACCUAUACCCAGCCGUUGCUGGCUUGUGCGUUGUCUAUCGCCUGGCCGCAACGAGUAGGAGGGUCGUGGCGGUUGCGUCGAAGGCUUUGGGCGUAGGCCCAGCUGGAGCUUCCGUCAGUGCAGAUCUCGGUGGUAGUAGCAAAUAUUUAAGUUCGAUCCUUGAAGACUGAAGUGGAGAAGGGUUCCACGUGAACAGUAGUUGAAUGUGGGUCAGUCGAUCCUAAGAUACUGGCUUAUGCCUUGUAUCAUUGAGAGGGAAAAGUUUCUUUUCUCUCGGAUAUCAAAAGGGAAUAGGGUUAAUAUUCCCUAACGCAGACACAGAGAUUGCGGCUCUUUGAGUCGCUUGCGCGGUAACGCAUUCGAACUUGGUUACGUCGCUCAGAGACCGAGCUAGAGUUCUCUUCUCUAGUUAAGGAACGGACUCCCUGGAAUCGGUUCAGCCGUAGAUAGGGACGUUGUUUCCGUAAAGCAUCGCGGUUUCUGUGAUGUCUCGUGUUCUCUGGACGGCCCUUGAAAAACCAAGGAAGGCUAUCAAUCUGUGCUGCAUCGUACCGAUAUCCG
This 606-nucleotide ribosomal RNA is filed under the name Uncinaria sp. SAN-2011. RNAcentral's name for it is "eukaryotic LSU rRNA". It matches the Rfam family "Eukaryotic large subunit ribosomal RNA", at positions 1295 to 1856 of the family's 3401-position model. The record is from RNAcentral. Lineage: Eukaryota; Metazoa; Nematoda; Chromadorea; Rhabditida; Ancylostomatidae.